CUCCUACGGGAGGCAGCAGUAAGGAAUAUUGGUCAAUGGACGCAAGUCUGAACCAGCCAUGCCGCGUGGAGGACGAAGGCCCUCUGGGUUGUAAACUUCUUUUACUGGGGAAGAAACCCAUCUUUUCUAAGGUGGUUGACGGUACCCGAUGAAUAAGCACCGGCUAACUCCGUGCCAGCAGCCGCGGUAAUAC
This 193-nucleotide ribosomal RNA is filed under the name uncultured bacterium. RNAcentral describes it as "partial 16S ribosomal RNA". It matches the Rfam family "Bacterial small subunit ribosomal RNA", at positions 336 to 526 of the family's 1533-position model. The record is from RNAcentral.